UGGCUGGAAAGGGAAAAGGGUGACACUGACAACCAGCCACCUUGGUGGUUUAUGGGACCUUUGAGGAGGCUGCAUUGAACCCAAAGGACCCAGGAAGACCCCUGGGACUGGCGACUGGGAAAUCCUAACUCUUGAUGGAACUCCAUGGUUGUGGGAGUCUGGUGAGCCUCUCACGGCUGGAGGGGACUUCAAAUGGGGAAGAGAUACAGAGGGCAGCAGCCUAAGGCUACACGAAAAGAAUGAUACAAAGAAUGGACCAUUAAAGUCCAAAAAGAGGGCGAAAUACCGACAGAAGGGUCUCUGAACUUUUGUCCACUGUGAGAGUAACAUGUUAACGUUCCAUGAUCACCUUGGAAUACAAGGCAGUUAGUCAUGCUAGACCCACGUGAGAUUUCCCUUUUCGGAACCUAUGGCCUUCUUCAAGCUUCCCUUGCAGGGAACCAUGUGGCUGUGUCUCUCCUCAUGUGGCUUCAAGACCAAGACCUUUGGGGCCAUUUCUUUGCAGUUUGAACCAACAGAUGACAUGAGAAAGACUCCAGAAACCAGCUUGUGCCCCAAGAAUGGUUGGAAUCAGGAGCCAAGACAAACUUGGAAUGAUGGCCAUGGUGCCAGGUACCAGAUCAAAAUAAAGGAAAGCAAAUCAACCACAAUAUCAACCUCCCAUUCCUGAAUGGUACCUCAGAGGCCAUAGAAUAGUGGCUCUAACUUCCUGAAACAGAAACCCACCACCAAGCAAGAACUGCCUGUAUCAGAGUCUGCAAGAUCUUCCCAACCACAAAACAAGAAACUGAUGGGUCAUUAGUCGAAGUCUGAGCCUGGGGCCAGAGCACUUCCUGUCUCUAUGAUAUUGGGCUUGGAACCAACCAUGCCCCAAGCCCUGAAGAGCUCUUCUUGGCUAGACCUUGUGCCCUCCUACCACUGAAGCUCUUCCCAAGCACCAUAUGCCCUUUGGGGAAAUUAGUGGAGGUUAGAGAGGAACCUAGCUCUGCAGUCAAGCUGGGGAUGUUCUAGGAGCCAAAGGUGAGGAAACAUCGGAGGGUGUGAAUUAAAAAGACAGAAGAUU
Phacochoerus africanus (Common warthog) is the source of this 1063-nucleotide long non-coding RNA. RefSeq lists it as uncharacterized. Lineage: Eukaryota; Metazoa; Chordata; Mammalia; Artiodactyla; Suidae. The transcript is spliced from 3 exons. The record is from RefSeq and is a predicted model, not a curated record.